ACAGACCUGAGCCUCGUGUUUGUUCCCAUUAACCUGCAGCAGCUCCCUGCUCGUUCCCAGAAACCGUUGCCUCUCUGCUGCGGGCUGUCUGCACGCUCACGCACACACGGAUUCGUGGAAGGUGCGUGUUUCUCAGUGACGGGGUUUAGUGUCUCUGGUCGGGCUUCGGAGAAAAUCCCUGCAGAGCUUCUGCACAGCUCGGAUACAGUUUACCUCCAAAGAUCUGUCCAGGAAGGAGCUUCCACUCAAAUGCCACCAGCAACCCGGGCUCUAUAAAGGGUCACCAACCCAAAACUGGGGGUCCACGAAGACCUGAAACACAAGAGCAGAGGAUCCCUACCUGUACCUGUAUGCAAAUCCUGCAGCGCCCCCGGAGGACUCGCACCGUGACCCAGAGAGUCCCUGCAGGCCUCAAACACAAAAGCAGGAACAAGUAGGGGACACAGCACUGAUAUAUCAUCACCUUCAACUCGUGAUCAACCAGCCGUUUAUCUCCACGUCCAGCAGCUACAGAGCAACAUGAUCCUUCAUCUGGAUCUGGUGUCUGUCCCACCUGGUGAAUCUAAGUCCAGCACUCCCUCUCUUUUAGCUCUGGUUUUGGUCUCCACCAGCUCCCGAAGGAAACAUCUGGCUCUUUAGCUGCUAAAUGCUCCACCGUGUUCACCAGCUGGUCUCUGACUGUGUCCGUCUGCUGUUUGCUGCUGACCAGGUUGUGGACGGUGGCUGUUUACAGCUGUUUCACCGAAAACAUCGCUGCGAGAGCGGCGAGAGUGAACCGGAGCAGUAAACGGUAAAAACUAGGCUAAUUUUGUGAUGGGGCAGGAUUGAGGCUUUGAAAUUAGGUUAGUCAAAUCUGGUGACACUGACAUGUACAUGUGUGUAUCAUAUACCACACACAUGCAUGCA
Long non-coding RNA from Xiphias gladius (swordfish), 906 nucleotides. RefSeq lists it as uncharacterized. The record is from RefSeq and is a predicted model, not a curated record. NCBI's taxonomy places the organism in Eukaryota, Metazoa, Chordata, Actinopteri, Istiophoriformes, Xiphiidae. The transcript is spliced from 3 exons.